CCUACGGGAGGCAGCAGUGGGGGAUAUUGCACAAUGGGGGGAACCCUGAUGCAGCGACGCCGCGUGGGUGAAGGAGCGUUUCGGCGCGUAAAGCCCUAUCGGCAGGGAAGAAGAUGACGGUACCUGACCAAGAAGCCCCGGCUACCGACGGGCCAGCAGCCGCGGUCAUACGUAGGGGGCAAGCGUUAUCCGGAUUUACUGGGUGUAAGGGGGGCGCAGACGGCAAUGCAAGCCAGGCGUGAAAGCCCGGGGCCCAACCCCGGGACUGCUCUUGGAACUGCAUGGCUGGAGUACAGGAGGGCCAGUCGGAAUGCCUAGUGUAGCGGUGAAAUGCGUAGAUAUUAGGAGGAACACCGGUGGCGAAGGCGGCCUGCUGGACUGUGACUGACGUUGCGGCCCGAAGGCGUGGGGAGCAAACAGGAUUAGAUACCCCUGUAGUC
This 440-nucleotide ribosomal RNA is filed under the name uncultured bacterium. RNAcentral's name for it is "partial 16S ribosomal RNA". It matches the Rfam family "Bacterial small subunit ribosomal RNA", at positions 338 to 795 of the family's 1533-position model. The record is from RNAcentral.